CACACACACACACACCACCCGCCAUGCCGCUCACGAAAUAACCGCUCGCCCGUUCCACGGAAGCAGCCGUGGGUGCGGGCGGGAAGUUCCUUUCAGCCUCCAAAUGAUGCCCGCUAGGCAGACCUGGGUGUCCUGGCAGCGGAAGUCAAUGAUGCAUCUAACAGCGGGCAGACAUCUAUGUAUGCAUCUCGCCUCACUUUCCUGUCCUCUCGCUACACCCUCGUAGUAUUCUUAGACACUUGGAGAAUCAUAACUAAAGGUUGCACUCUUCACGCUCCUGCGCCACAUUGCUAGCGCUAAAGUACCCUGACGCUUAACGAGCCCCAUUGAGCCCCACCAACAAAGGCCCCAAGAGCGGAAGCAGAGCGAUGUGGCUUCAACAUUGCGGGGUGUAACGGAGGCUGAUUGGGCUAUUGUUUCUUGCUACAUAUUUUGCUGCAUGGAGAUUGCAAACCGCCAGCGGUGUAAGAUACAGGUUUUUCAGUACCAUACAGAAUUCGGUGACAACUCAAACAUCAAUCGUAUCAUAACAAAUACGGUAUGUCGGGACAGUUGAUGUCGUAUGCAUCGUAUUUCUGGCAAGGGAAAUACACGCGGUGUCGGGAGGAUGAGGCUUCGGAACAGCCCACGAGGAGCCCUGGAGAGGAGAUUCGGGAACGGUUGGCUGUGACGGGGAAAAGUUGGUCGUGGCAAAUGAACAAGCAGCGAGGACCAUCCUUCACUGCUUUCCUGGCGGUUUUUUUUUGUUCUUUUUUUUUUU
Molecule: small RNA, 760 nt
Filed under: Histoplasma capsulatum
Lineage: Eukaryota; Fungi; Ascomycota; Eurotiomycetes; Onygenales; Ajellomycetaceae
Description: hypothetical RNA
Source: RNAcentral